UUAAGCGACUAAGCGUACACGGUGGAUGCCCUGGCAGUCAGAGGCGAUGAAGGACGUGCUAAUCUGCGAUAAGCGUCGGUAAGGUGAUAUGAACCGUUAUAACCGGCGAUUUCCGAAUGGGGAAACCCAGUGUGAUUCGUCACACUAUCAUUAACUGAAUCCAUAGGUUAAUGAGGCGAACCGGGGGAACUGAAACAUCUAAGUACCCCGAGGAAAAGAAAUCAACCGAGAUUCCCCCAGUAGCGGCGAGCGAACGGGGAGCAGCCCAGAGCCUGAAUCAGUGUGUGUGUUAGUGGAAGCGUCUGGAAAGGCGCGCGAUACAGGGUGACAGCCCCGUACACAAAAAUGCACAUACUGUGAGCUCGAUGAGUAGGGCGGGACACGUGGUAUCCUGUCUGAAUAUGGGGGGACCAUCCUCCAAGGCUAAAUACUCCUGACUGACCGAUAGUGAACCAGUACCGUGAGGGAAAGGCGAAAAGAACCCCGGCGAGGGGAGUGAAAAAGAACCUGAAACCGUGUACGUACAAGCAGUGGGAGCACAGAGCAAUCUGUGUGACUGCGUACCUUUUGUAUAAUGGGUCAGCGACUUAUAUUCUGUAGCAAGGUUAACCGAAUAGGGGAGCCGAAGGGAAACCGAGUCUUAACUGGGCGUUAAGUUGCAGGGUAUAGACCCGAAACCCGGUGAUCUAGCCAUGGGCAGGUUGAAGGUUGGGUAACACUAAUUGGAGGACCGAACCGACUAAUGUUGAAAAAUUAGCGGAUGACUUGUGGCUGGGGGUGAAAGGCCAAUCAAACCGGGAGAUAGCUGGUUCUCCCCGAAAGCUAUUUAGGUAGCGCCUCGUGAAUUCAUCUCCGGGGGUAGAGCACUGUUUCGGCAAGGGGGUCAUCCCGACUUACCAACCCGAUGCAAACUGCGAAUACCGGAGAAUGUUAUCACGGGAGACACACGGCGGGUGCUAACGUCCGUCGUGAAGAGGGAAACAACCCAGACCGCCAGCUAAGGUCCCAAAGUCAUGGUUAAGUGGGAAACGAUGUGGGAAGGCCCAGACAGCCAGGAUGUUGGCUUAGAAGCAGCCAUCAUUUAAAGAAAGCGUAAUAGCUCACUGGUCGAGUCGGCCUGCGCGGAAGAUGUAACGGGGCUAAACCAUGCACCGAAGCUGCGGCAGCGACGCUGAUGCGUUGUUGGGUAGGGGAGCGUUCUGUAAGCCUGUGAAGGUGUGCUGUGAGGCAUGCUGGAGGUAUCAGAAGUGCGAAUGCUGACAUAAGUAACGAUAAAGCGGGUGAAAAGCCCGCUCGCCGGAAGACCAAGGGUUCCUGUCCAACGUUAAUCGGGGCAGGGUGAGUCGACCCCUAAGGCGAGGCCGAAAGGCGUAGUCGAUGGGAAACAGGUUAAUAUUCCUGUACUUGGUGUUACUGCGAAGGGGGGACGGAGAAGGCUAUGUUGGCCGGGCGACGGUUGUCCCGGUUUAAGCGUGUAGGCUGGUUUUCCAGGCAAAUCCGGAAAAUCAAGGCUGAGGCGUGAUGACGAGGCACUACGGUGCUGAAGCAACAAAUGCCCUGCUUCCAGGAAAAGCCUCUAAGCAUCAGGUAACAUCAAAUCGUACCCCAAACCGACACAGGUGGUCAGGUAGAGAAUACCAAGGCGCUUGAGAGAACUCGGGUGAAGGAACUAGGCAAAAUGGUGCCGUAACUUCGGGAGAAGGCACGCUGAUAUGUAGGUGAAGUCCCUCGCGGAUGGAGCUGAAAUCAGUCGAAGAUACCAGCUGGCUGCAACUGUUUAUUAAAAACACAGCACUGUGCAAACACGAAAGUGGACGUAUACGGUGUGACGCCUGCCCGGUGCCGGAAGGUUAAUUGAUGGGGUCAGCGCAAGCGAAGCUCUUGAUCGAAGCCCCGGUAAACGGCGGCCGUAACUAUAACGGUCCUAAGGUAGCGAAAUUCCUUGUCGGGUAAGUUCCGACCUGCACGAAUGGCGUAAUGAUGGCCAGGCUGUCUCCACCCGAGACUCAGUGAAAUUGAACUCGCUGUGAAGAUGCAGUGUACCCGCGGCAAGACGGAAAGACCCCGUGAACCUUUACUAUAGCUUGACACUGAACAUUGAGCCUUGAUGUGUAGGAUAGGUGGGAGGCUUUGAAGUGUGGACGCCAGUCUGCAUGGAGCCGACCUUGAAAUACCACCCUUUAAUGUUUGAUGUUCUAACGUUGACCCGUAAUCCGGGUUGCGGACAGUGUCUGGUGGGUAGUUUGACUGGGGCGGUCUCCUCCUAAAGAGUAACGGAGGAGCACGAAGGUUGGCUAAUCCUGGUCGGACAUCAGGAGGUUAGUGCAAUGGCAUAAGCCAGCUUGACUGCGAGCGUGACGGCGCGAGCAGGUGCGAAAGCAGGUCAUAGUGAUCCGGUGGUUCUGAAUGGAAGGGCCAUCGCUCAACGGAUAAAAGGUACUCCGGGGAUAACAGGCUGAUACCGCCCAAGAGUUCAUAUCGACGGCGGUGUUUGGCACCUCGAUGUCGGCUCAUCACAUCCUGGGGCUGAAGUAGGUCCCAAGGGUAUGGCUGUUCGCCAUUUAAAGUGGUACGCGAGCUGGGUUUAGAACGUCGUGAGACAGUUCGGUCCCUAUCUGCCGUGGGCGCUGGAGAACUGAGGGGGGCUGCUCCUAGUACGAGAGGACCGGAGUGGACGCAUCACUGGUGUUCGGGUUGUCAUGCCAAUGGCACUGCCCGGUAGCUAAAUGCGGAAGAGAUAAGUGCUGAAAGCAUCUAAGCACGAAACUUGCCCCGAGAUGAGUUCUCCCUGACCCUUUAAGGGUCCUGAAGGAACGUUGAAGACGACGACGUUGAUAGGCCGGGUGUGUAAGCGCAGCGAUGCGUUGAGCUAACCGGUACUAAUGAACCGUGAGGCUUAACCU
RNAcentral lists this ribosomal RNA (2903 nucleotides) under Escherichia coli. RNAcentral describes it as "23S ribosomal RNA". It matches the Rfam family "Bacterial large subunit ribosomal RNA". The record is from RNAcentral. Lineage: Bacteria; Pseudomonadati; Pseudomonadota; Gammaproteobacteria; Enterobacterales; Enterobacteriaceae.